GAAAAGAAACUAACAAGGAUUCCCCCAGUAGCGGCGAGCGAAGCGGGAAGAGCCCGGGAUGAAAAUCUCUUCGGAGAGUUGUAGUCUGAGCUCCCUUGGGCGGUCAGUGUGGGUAAAUCGUCUGGGAUGGCGUGCCAAGGAGGGUGAGAGCCCCGUCCACCCCACACAGGACCCGCCCGCACGAGGGCGCUUCAACCGAGUCGGGUAGCUUGGGAAUGCUGCUCCAAUUGGUGGUAAAUCUCAUCAAAGGCUAAAUAACGGUGGGAGACCGAUAGCGAACAAGUACCGUGAGGGAAAGAUGGAAAGAACUUUGAAAAGAGAGUGAAAAGCGCUUGAAACCGUCACGGGGGAAGCGGAUUGCGUGAGUGAUGGCGUGCACUGUUCAGCUCAAAAUGUGGAGUGUAUUCUGUGCGCGCCGGGCGUGUGUGGCUGGGGUGCGUGCGAAUUUGGCACGCGUUCCUGGUGAGGGCUCCCUGCCUGUCAGGUGAGGACACACGCGAAAUGACGCAAUACGACCCGUCUUGAAACACGGACCAAGGAGUCUAGCACGGCUGCGAGUCGAAGGGUGUGAAAACCCAUAGGGCGCAGUGAAAGCGAAAGAAAGCAAAUUGGGGAGGCGUUGCGGUUUUACCAAAAUGUCCUACCUCGAGCACCUGUGCUGGGACCCGAAAGAUGGUGAACUAUGCCGGAGUAGGGCAAAGCCAGAGGAAACUCUGGUGGAGGCUCGUAGCGAUGCUGACGUGCAAAUCGCUCGUCGAACUUGGGUAUAGGGGCGAAAGACUAAUCGAACCAUCUAGUAGCUGGUUCCCUCCGAAGUUUCUCUCAGGAUAGCGGGCCGACGACAUGUUGUUUUGUGCGGUAAAGCGAAUGAUUAGUGCAUUUGGGGGCCGAAGGCCUUCAGGCGAUUCUCAAACUUUAAAUGCGCAAGGGGGCGGCUGCUUAAUUGAGCCUGCUCUUUGAAAAACGUCGGCCCUGUGGGCCACUUUUGGUAAGCAGAACUGGCGAUAAGGGAUGAACCUUAAGCGCGGUUAAGGCGCCGCAUUGCCCGCUUAUAGACCCCACAAAAGGUGUUGAUUCAUCCAGACAGCAGGACGGUGGCCAUGGAAGUCGGAAUCCGCUAAGGAGUGUGUAACAACUCACCUGCCGAAUGAAUUAGCCCUGAAAAUGGAUGGCGCUGAAGCGGGCAGCCGACACCGCGCCGUUCGGGCGAGACGAAGCCCGGAUGAGUAGGAGGGCGUGGCGGUCAGUGACGCAGGCGUGGGUGCAGACCCCGCUGAAACGGCCGCUAGUGCAGAUCUUGGUGGUAGUAGCAAAUAUUCAAGCGAGAUCCUUGAAGGGCGAAGCGGGGAAGGGUUCCACGCGAACAUUGAUUGGGCGUGGGUGAGUC
This 1387-nucleotide ribosomal RNA is filed under the name Torularia puiggariana. RNAcentral describes it as "eukaryotic LSU rRNA". It matches the Rfam family "Eukaryotic large subunit ribosomal RNA", at positions 56 to 1540 of the family's 3401-position model. Lineage: Eukaryota; Rhodophyta; Florideophyceae; Batrachospermales; Batrachospermaceae. The record is from RNAcentral.